Molecule: ribosomal RNA, 1174 nt
Filed under: Burkholderiaceae bacterium
Lineage: Bacteria; Pseudomonadati; Pseudomonadota; Betaproteobacteria; Burkholderiales; Burkholderiaceae
Description: bacterial SSU rRNA
Rfam family: Bacterial small subunit ribosomal RNA
Source: RNAcentral
GGGGCGUGCGGCAUGCCUUAACAUGCAAGUCGAACGGCAGCGCGGACUUCGGUCUGGCGGCGAGUGGCGAACGGGUGAGUAAUACAUCGGAACGUACCCUGUUGUGGGGGAUAACUAGUCGAAAGAUUAGCUAAUACCGCAUACGACCUGAGGGUGAAAGCGGGGGACCGAAAGGCCUCGCGCAGCAGGAGCGGCCGAUGUCUGAUUAGCUAGUUGGUGGGGUAAAGGCCCACCAAGGCGACGAUCAGUAGCUGGUCUGAGAGGACGAUCAGCCACACUGGGACUGAGACACGGCCCAGACUCCUACGGGAGGCAGCAGUGGGGAAUUUUGGACAAUGGGGGCAACCCUGAUCCAGCAAUGCCGCGUGUGUGAAGAAGGCCUUCGGGUUGUAAAGCACUUUUGUCCGGAAAGAAAUUGCUCUGGCUAAUACCUGGGGUAGAUGACGGUACCGGAAGAAUAAGCACCGGCUAACUACGUGCCAGCAGCCGCGGUAAUACGUAGGGUGCGAGCGUUAAUCGGAAUUACUGGGCGUAAAGCGUGCGCAGGCGGUUUUGUAAGACAGGCGUGAAAUCCCCGGGCUCAACCUGGGAAUUGCGCUUGUGACUGCAAGGCUAGAGUGCGUCAGAGGGGGGUAGAAUUCCACGUGUAGCAGUGAAAUGCGUAGAGAUGUGGAGGAAUACCGAUGGCGAAGGCAGCCCCCUGGGACGUGACUGACGCUCAUGCACGAAAGCGUGGGGAGCAAACAGGAUUAGAUACCCUGGUAGUCCACGCCCUAAACGAUGUCAACUAGUUGUUGGGGAUUCAUUUUCUCAGUAACGUAGCUAACGCGUGAAGUUGACCGCCUGGGGAGUACGGUCGCAAGAUUAAAACUCAAAGGAAUUGACGGGACCCGCACAAGCGGUGGAUGAUGUGGAUUAAUUCAUGCAACGCGAAAAACCUUACCUACCCUUGACAUGCCACUAACGAAGCAGAGAUGCAUUACGUGCCCGGAAGGGAAAGUGGACACAGGUGCUGCAAUGGCUGUCAUCGCUCGUGUCGUGAGAUGUUGGUAGGUCCCGCAACAGCGCACCCUAGUCUCUAGUGCUACUCAAAGCACUCUAAAAGACUGCGGUGACAAACCGAGGAACGUAGGAAUGACGUCAGUCCACACGGGCCUAGGCUAGGCUCCAACGC